Molecule: ribosomal RNA, 484 nt
Filed under: uncultured bacterium
Lineage: Bacteria
Description: partial 16S ribosomal RNA
Rfam family: Bacterial small subunit ribosomal RNA
Source: RNAcentral
AUUGAACGCUGGCGGCAGGCCUAACACAUGCAAGUCGAGCGGCUGAACGGUGCUUGCUCCUGGAUUCGGCGGCGGACGGGCGAGUGAUGCCUAGGAAUCUCCCUGGUAGCGGGGGCUAACGUCAGGACACGGGCGCUAAUACCGCAUACGUCCUGAGGUCGAACGUGGGGGAUCUUCGGACCUUCCGCUCUCAGAUGAUCCUAGGUCGGAUUAGCUAGUUGGUGGGGUAAAGGCCUACCAAGGCGACGAUCCGUAGCUGGUCUGAGAGGAUGAUCAGCCACACUGGAACUGAGACACGGUCCAGACUCCUACGGGAGGCAGCAGUGGGGAAUAUUGGACAAUGGGCGAAAGCCUGAUCCAGCCAUGCCGCGUGUGUGAAGAAGGUCUUCGGAUUGUAAAGCCCUUUUAUUGGGGAGGAAAAGCAGUAAGUUAAUACCUCGCUGUUUUGACGGUACCAAAAGAAUAAGCACCGGCUAACUUCGUG